CAGCCGCCGCGGGAAUACGAAGGGGGCUAGCGUUGUUCGGAUUUACUGGGCGUAAAGGGCGCGUAGGCGGACUGAUAAGUCAGGGGUGAAAACCCAAGGCUCAACCUUGGAACUGCCUUUGAUACUGUUUGUCUUGAGUUCGAGAGAGGUAAGUGGAACUGCGAGUGUAGAGGUGAAAUUCGUAGAUAUUCGCAAGAACACCAGUGGCGAAGGCGGCUUACUGGCUCGAAACUGACGCUGAGGCGCGAAAGCGUGGGGAGCAAACAGGAUUAGAUACCCCCGUAGUCCCUGUCUCUUAUAC
RNAcentral lists this ribosomal RNA (301 nucleotides) under uncultured bacterium. Its description in RNAcentral is "partial 16S ribosomal RNA". It matches the Rfam family "Bacterial small subunit ribosomal RNA", at positions 509 to 807 of the family's 1533-position model. The record is from RNAcentral.